Molecule: non-coding RNA, 106 nt
Organism: Thermothielavioides terrestris NRRL 8126
Lineage: Eukaryota; Fungi; Ascomycota; Sordariomycetes; Sordariales; Chaetomiaceae
Source: the annotation of a RefSeq genome assembly
CCGGGUAUGGUGUAGCGGUAACAUCGUUGACUCUCAUUGCUCCCCAAUCAAAAGGGGUGGUGAUGCCUGCUCUCAACAGCCCGGGGUUCGACUCCCCGUAUCCGAG